GGUUUGUAGGCAGUGUUGUUAGCUGAUUGUUUCGCUCUUGCUGCAAUCACUAACCAUACUGCCAACAGAAC
This is a microRNA precursor of Scleropages formosus (Asian bonytongue), 71 nucleotides long. It matches the Rfam family "mir-34 microRNA precursor family". From Rfam's summary of the family: Human mir-34a was discovered computationally and later experimentally verified. The mature sequence is excised from the 5' arm of the hairpin. Lineage: Eukaryota; Metazoa; Chordata; Actinopteri; Osteoglossiformes; Osteoglossidae. The record is from Rfam.